Cyprinus carpio carpio is the source of this 702-nucleotide long non-coding RNA. Lineage: Eukaryota; Metazoa; Chordata; Actinopteri; Cypriniformes; Cyprinidae. The record is from Ensembl.
GCUAGGUCUUUGAGAUGUGUCGAUUGAAUGUUUUGAAUCUUACCCACUGAACCUUAAAUCAAUGGUUUCUUUCAUUGAAACGGUGAUACAUGAUCUGCAAUAUUAGGACCGUCUCUGGGAAAAGCACACGGGGCUCGAAAAGUUAGCAAACGCUCGCAGAGCAGUUCAUUUGUCACGCUCUCACCAACUGGAAGGCAAAGGGCGCAUUAUGAGGUCACAAAACAACGACUUCCCUGUUGGGUCUCAGCAACAGCUUGUCAUUUGUAGCGUGCUUUGGAAGGAGUGAAAUGCCCCGAAGGUUGCGGAACAACAUCCAUGCUAAUCUGAGCGUCCUUGCGAGUGCAUUAGAAGUCUCUAAACUAUCUGGAGAGUGUCGUAGGUUGUGUGUUCCCACUGUGCUGCAAACCUGCCCUAUGCCUGUUCAGUGUGGACUUGCACUCCUUCCAUUUCCCAGGGGCCGUUUUGAACCAGGGCCAAAAGUUUUGCAGUGGGUCAAAAGUGUGCACUCCUCCUCCCACUAACCCACAGGCGGGUGCCCUGCUCACCCCACACCAGAGGCAGACCCUGCUGGAGGACUGAGGAGGCCAUUUUAUAUGUUUCUCAAAAUGCACCACAGAGGAUGGCCAACACCCGUUUCUAUCUUUAGAUGGGGGAAUCCACCCAAAGCUGUCACUCAUGUGGUCAAAUCUCUAAGAAAAAAAG